UCGUAAUUUAAAUGAUUUUCCAUUAACAGCUGAAAAUUUGCGCUUAUCUAGCCACAUAAAUUCCCAGCCCAUUGAUAUACAAAAGGAACACAAUUUAAUGCAAAAUAAUCAACAAAGAAUUUGCCGUUCAGCGGGCUCAUACACGGACAGUGAAGACGAACGUGAUUGUCAUUCAUCAACGGCAAAGGGUUUUUCUAAUUCAGACUCCAACUUAACACUGCAAAGUCAAAGUGGUCAUAUUUGAAGUUAAUCUUUAUGUGAUAUUAUAAUCUUUAUACUAAUUUUUUUGUUUUUGUUUUU
Molecule: long non-coding RNA, 300 nt
Organism: Musca vetustissima
Lineage: Eukaryota; Metazoa; Arthropoda; Insecta; Diptera; Muscidae
Exons: 2
Source: RefSeq, a predicted model, not a curated record